RNAcentral lists this ribosomal RNA (473 nucleotides) under uncultured bacterium. RNAcentral describes it as "bacterial SSU rRNA". It matches the Rfam family "Bacterial small subunit ribosomal RNA", at positions 917 to 1382 of the family's 1533-position model. The record is from RNAcentral.
GGGCUCACACAAGCGGUGGAGCAUGUGGCUCAAUUCGAAGCAACGCGAAGAACCUUAUCCUAGGUUUGACAUGUAUGGAUUAGUCGGCAGAAACGUCGAUGACACUCUUGUAGUGGAACAUACACAGGUGCUGCAUGGCUGUCGUCAGCUCGUGCUGUGAAGUGUCGGGUUAAGUCCCUUAACGAGCGAAACCCCUGUCGCCAGUUGCCAACGGGUCAUGCCGGGGACUCUGGUGAGACUGCCGGUGUUAAACCGGACGAAGGUGGGGAUGACGUCAAGUCCUCAUGGCCUUUAUGCCUAGGGCUGCACACGUGCUACAAUGGCGCGCACAGAACGAUGCAAGACCGCAAGGUGGAGCAAAUCGCUCAAAACGCGCCCCAGUUCGGAUUGAGGGCUGCAACCCGCCCUCAUGAAGUCGGAAUCGCUAGUAAUCGCGGAUCAGCUACGCCGCGGUGAAUAUGUUCCUGAGCCUU